CUGGCAGUUACUGUUUUUGGGCCAUUAGAUCUUCCGUGACUAUUACUGUCCAACCCCUUCUUUCUUAAGUUCUUUACUACCCAAAUGAUGAUUAUUUACUAAGAAAUGAAAGGAGAGACACGAUUUACAAAAGAUCAAUCAAUAUUAUAAAUCAGUUCAUGUUUGAUAUUUCUUCACUACCUAAUAACCUCCAUUCAUUAUCUUCAAGAAAUGUCGUCUCUAAUGCUGGCUAGAAACAACCUAAACUCUCUUGCCUUCCUCGCAUGCUCAGGUGACAUUUCAGUUUCUGAUUCACUCAAGUCUAUCACAUCAUUACGUUGAUCACUGACAGGUUGGCAUCGCGAAACCUUACUUGUACUUGCUAGUGGAGAAGGACUCAAAAGAUCAAUGAUCUCAUGUUUUUUUGGAAGACUUGAAUCAAUGUGACAAGACACGGCAGCAUUACAGUUAGUAUCUCCUUGUGACUCUGCAAUAAGAGGGUCUUGCUUUUUAAAAUGAACUGCAACUGCAGUUGCAGUUUUGCUAUCCUCUGAUAUAACUGCUGUUGACGGAAAGGAGACAUUAAAACUGUUAUUACUUCCUGAUUCAAUGUCAAGCAACAAAGUUUGGAGCCUUAAGUCAAUUUCAGCCACAGUUGAACUUGAUUUGUUUUCUGAUUUCUUUAUUCUUGGUUUCCUGUGAUUUUGUUUCUUCGCUAGAGCUCUUUUCUCCUCAAACUCGGCAAUCUUUUCAGGACAAGCACUAGAUAUGGACAAGACAAGAAAACUUUAACUUUUAAAAAUCCCAAUUUCUAAUAAUAUUAGAUUUGACAAAUUUGAGAACACUGGUAAAAAUGUCAGAAAAAUAAGAGUAUUCUACAAUUCGACCAAGUGAUGAAAAAAAGGAUAAAGGUUUGUUUUCCACUGGAAUUUAACUAAAUAUUUAAUAUAGCCUUGUGCACAUCUUUCCCUUGAUGCAUGAUUUAAAAAAUCUGCCCAAUUUAAAUGUUAUAAGUUGAAACUAUGAAUUGUUAACCACCCAAACCUCUAAAAAAACAUGCACCCCAUGUGUCAACUGACAUUUGCAAUUAAUUCUUCAAAAAAGAAAAGAAAUUUGCAAUUAAUAAUUACAUAGAUGGAAAGUUGAAAACAAUUAUAAGAUUACCUCUCUAUGAGAUCAGCAGGAACUGUGGAGGUUUCAAGUCCAUCUAACCCUUCCCACAAAACCUCAAAGCAUUCUCUUCCCUGAACUUUUCUCUGUUUAACAAUGGUGGAUACAGGGCACUUAACUGGUAUCUGCAAAUCACAAGGUCUUGCCAUAUAUAAUGUCAUCAUAUAAGAGAUAGCAGACCCCAUUUACAGAUCAACAACACCAACAUGAUAAGGCAGAACCCAUGAGCACUCCAGAGAUUAUUAUGGAACGGGAGACCAAAUUGUAUGAUUAACAUAGUGAUAUGUUUCUAAUAAUUAUGUUCAAUUUUGACAAUUAGGGUAUGAAAUCAAUGCAUUCAACAAUUGCAGGCAUUUUACAAAAUGGAUGUACUCAAGGUUUUGAUCAUCAAUACUAACAAUUCAUACAAAAGGAUGGGCUUUGGGUUUUGAAGCUGCAACCUCAUCAACUUGGCAAUGUAAAAAUUUUCUGGACACUGACCAUUGGGAGAUUUGACUAACAUGAGUGGUUAAAGAGGAUUUUUUACAGUCUAGCAGCUGAAAGGGAAAAUACAUUUAAGAAGAUCAAUUAUUGCCAAUUGUAAAUUUGUAGAACAAUAGUACCUUGCACAAAGGAUUAUGUACUCCUAGUUCCGAAGAAGUUGAACGCAAAUUGGCAAAUCUCCGCAAAUCUCUUUCAGCAAUUUUUGGAAGGACAUACUCAUCUAAGCCAAGGAAAGGGGACAAAAAGGGGAAAAAAAUCUAACAUAAAUCAAAAUGAUCCAAAAACCUCUCCUCUCACUCUCUCAAAUGGCCAACCGUAGGGAAGAAGGGGCCUAAAGUGCAAAUAUAUAAAUAAAAGUGGGACUGUGGGAAUCAGAGUCAACUAGACGAACACUACAUACAUAAUUAAAAAAAAAUACCCACAAACAUUUUGACUUUUGGAACUAAUAAAACCACGACCAACCUUCAAAAACUUGGGCAUGUAGGGGAAGCCUUCAAUGUUAACCAUUUUCAGAAAUUUGUAUCAACUUUUUUUUGUUUUUUGUUUGAGUGAUAAAAAUCUGUAUCAACUUGAUUAAAGCAGUAUUUUAAACUUGCCUCCAUGAGACAAAGGCAGCCAUAAACAUUUUUAUGUCAAGAAAAUAAACUACCAUUUGCACAAAACACAAAAUGCAAAUCAAUAAGGGGAAAAAAGCUAUGAUUUUGUUAAUCAUGGGAUUACAAGAACUUCACCUAAACAUCCAUACUAUGCCAACAUGAGAAUCUUGCAUCCACAUGCCUGUGUAUACUAGGAGUGGAUAUUGCACAGACGAGCACAUAUAUGGAUGUGUGGCUCUGUGUGAUGUCAAUUAAGGAGCAAAGGACAGACCUGUUUUCUCAGGUGGCCACCCAAAGAACUCAAUACAUAUUUCUUGAAGUUUGGAUCGUUGGAAUGGCAGCUGAGCAAGAACC
This 2582-nucleotide unclassified non-coding RNA is filed under the name Hevea brasiliensis (rubber tree). Lineage: Eukaryota; Viridiplantae; Streptophyta; Magnoliopsida; Malpighiales; Euphorbiaceae. The record is from RNAcentral.